UGACCUAAAAGCUGUUAGAUGUAUGCCCUAGAAGCCAAUCAGACCGACACAUAUAUUCUUUCUAGGACAUAAAUUUGUAUUUGACUUUUAAAAUAUUAUGAAUAACUUUGGUUUUUAUUUCCAUUCAUGUUGUGUAUGUGUCCAUGAAUCGUCCAAGGAAUUAAUAAGAUGAUGACAUAUAUUCUCAAGUGUUGAGAAUUUGAGACAUGUGUCAUUGGUGAUUAAUUCCUAAAUGCUUNGAUUCCACGAUCAUCAAAUUGAGGCAAGAAUUUAUCCGCGAAAAAGGUAAUGAUUCGAUCUUACUUUUCUCCUUUAAUCUUAAAGAACAUGAGGGAUCCUAAUUGCGUGGUUUUUGAGAUUUGAUCUCGAGAGUUUUCAAAAAUCAAAUUUGUUUGAUUUCUUUUUCCGCUGCGUUUUUGCCGUACGCAAUUUUCUAACAAAAGCUCCCUCUCUCUCUCUAAGAUCUCUUUCUCUCUCUCU
Molecule: long non-coding RNA, 480 nt
Filed under: Ananas comosus (pineapple)
Lineage: Eukaryota; Viridiplantae; Streptophyta; Magnoliopsida; Poales; Bromeliaceae
Description: long non-coding RNA (ACOM_LNC025907)
Source: RNAcentral